RNAcentral lists this ribosomal RNA (565 nucleotides) under Arius dispar. RNAcentral's name for it is "partial 16S ribosomal RNA". It matches the Rfam family "Bacterial large subunit ribosomal RNA", at positions 1816 to 2597 of the family's 2925-position model. The record is from RNAcentral. Lineage: Eukaryota; Metazoa; Chordata; Actinopteri; Siluriformes; Ariidae.
CGCCUCCUGCAAACAUCAACGUAUAGGAGGUCUCGCCUGCCCAGUGACAAGUUAAACGGCCGCGGUAUCUUGACCGUGCGAAGGUAGCGCAAUCACUUGUCUUUUAAAUGAAGACCUGUAUGAAUGGUAGAACGAGGGCUUAACUGUCUCCCUUUUUUAGUCAAUGAAAUUGAUCUGCCCGUGCAGAAGCGGACAUAACAAUACAAGACGAGAAGACCCUUUGGAGCUUAAGACUCCAGAUCAAUUAUGUCAAGAACUUAAACCAAGUUAAACCAAAUAACACCUGAUCCUAAUCUUUUGUUGGGGCGACCGCGGGAGAAAACAAAGCUCCCAUGAGGACUGGACCCACCUCCAGAACCAAGAAAGACAUCUCUAAGUCACAGAACCUCUGACCAUAAAGAUCCGGCCACCCGCCGACCAACGGACCAAGUUACCCUAGGGAUAACAGCGCAAUCCCCUUUCAGAGUCCAUAUCGACAAGGGGGUUUACGACCUCGAUGUUGGAUCAGGACAUCCUAAUGGUGCAGCCGCUAUUAAGGGUUCGUUUGUUCAACGAUUAAAGUCCU